UACGAAGGGGGCUAGCGUUGCUCGGAAUCACUGGGCGUAAAGGGUGCGUAGGCGGGUCUUUAAGUCAGGGGUGAAAUCCUGGAGCUCAACUCCAGAACUGCCUUUGAUACUGAGGAUCUUGAGUACGGGAGAGGUGAGUGGAACUGCGAGUGUAGAGGUGAAAUUCGUAGAUAUUCGCAAGAACACCGGUGGCGAAGGCGGCCAACUGGACCAUUACUGACGCUGAGGCGCGAAAGCGUGGGGAGCAAACAGG
RNAcentral lists this ribosomal RNA (253 nucleotides) under uncultured bacterium. RNAcentral describes it as "partial 16S ribosomal RNA". It matches the Rfam family "Bacterial small subunit ribosomal RNA", at positions 524 to 776 of the family's 1533-position model. The record is from RNAcentral.